Oryza sativa Japonica Group (Japanese rice) is the source of this 2133-nucleotide long non-coding RNA. RefSeq lists it as uncharacterized. Lineage: Eukaryota; Viridiplantae; Streptophyta; Magnoliopsida; Poales; Poaceae. The record is from RefSeq and is a predicted model, not a curated record.
UCUAAUUAUCCCUACUUUCUACACGCAUUUAAGUGUUUUUUUUAUUUUUUAGUAUUUUUCAUUUUUUUUCAUGUUUUCUGCAAUAUCGCGGUUACCGCGUCAAACCGCGACCAAACCGCGAAACCGCCAAUUUUUUAAUUCAAUUUUUUCGAGAUGAAAUUCACACGGUUUUUAGCGGUUACCGUUGGGGGGUAACCUCCCCAAAAACGGUAAGGUAAACCUGGGCGUGGCCAAAUCACUUUGUCAUGUCACACACAGUCGGCGUGGCAGUGGCAAGAGGCUGGCGUGGCAAAACAACGCUACCACACUAGCUACUUGGCUGGCGUGGCCAAAAAUUUCAGUUUUCGGAAAUAUUUUUCGGAAAUGUCUAUUAAUAAAAUUUUAAAAUAAAAAAAUCCGAAUAUUUGCUAUGUUGUCGCUAAUGACCCCAUUUGGACAUGGUUAAUAACUAUGUUAUUUACGCAUGUGGCAAUUUAAUUAACAAAAUAAUAACUAUGUCUAUCUAUCUUAAAUUGUGUUUCUAAAUGUCACUGUAGUGUUAACACAGACAGAUUACUAGUAUUCAAUGAAAUUGACACACCCUGUAUCGGUUCUAUCUAUCUACCCUAUAGUUCAACAAAUACUUUCACUCAUUCUUUCAUUCAUCACUCUAGGGUUCAGAUUAUUCGUAUGAGAUCCAACGCUCCUGAUCUUCUCCUCCUCCCACCUCUGUAUUCGCCGCUCUUCCAACCCCAUCAGCGCCCAGAUCGCUCCCCCUCCCGUUGCCCCCUCUCCCCCUCCUCUUUCUCGUACCCACCCGAAAAUCACGCCGCGAGAUCCCCAGCGCCAAACCCAUCGUCCACCAUGGCGACUCCUCGAACCCUCUAGCGUCGCCACUCAGUGCCACAGUUUGAAGGUGUUUUUUUUUGUGUGAUUAUGAUGGCUCAUGCUCUGUUGCAACGGUUGCUAUGAGUAUUGGACGAACUGAUUAGAUCUCGAGGAGAGGAUCAUGGCCUUGGUUGCCUCAUCGUUAUGCAGGUGGAUCAAGUGUAUUAUUUGAUUAUUCAAGGCCGCAUGCUCGCCGUCGACCCCAACACCCCUGGUGACGAUCCUCGUCAGAUCAAGGCCAAAAGCUGCCCCCCAUCCUCUGUUCCACCCCUGCAGUGUUCGCGCACGCCGGCUCCCUCCACUCCGGCUCCCUUGCCAUCUCCCCCGCGCUGCCUCGACGCCGGCUCGCUCGUCGUCUCCCAAACGCCGCUGCUCGCGACCACAGGAGAAGGAACCCGCUGCACAACGCUCUUCCCGGACGCCGCGUCGCCCUUUCUUCUCAGACCUUCCCGGUGAAAGCGGCGUUGGAGCCUGAGAUCAAGCGGUCCUUCUCGAUUCAGUCCUCCUCCUUUCUCGUCUCCAAGCAGCAUGUCCUCCCUGGACCUCGGCUCCUCACUCGUCACCCUCUCUAAGGAGAGGAGAAGCCCUGGUUCUGGUUGAUCUCCAGCCGAACGGCAAGAACGACGAUGUCAUCUGCAGAUGCAGUACGUUCUGCUUGGUUUCAGCCGAGCGGCAAGAACAACAGUGGCGGCAGCAGCAAGCCCGACGUCCGGCUCCCUGUGCGCCAUGCUGCCUGACUCUUGCUCGCCCCACAGGCCACAGCUCGGGGUGGGUUGCCGCCAAAUUGGGGUGCGGCGGCGGCGCACGGGAGGCAUGAACGGCAGCGGCGCGUGGGAGGAGGAGACAGUGGCGAGCGAGUCCGGUCGCGAUGAGGACGAGGCAGCGCCGUGGCGAUGUUGAGAUGAAGGGCAACGAUAGAAAUUAACAAACGUGACUAGGACGAAUGAACUGGUAGCGUCAAACAAAAAAAACGAUUCUGAUUUGCACUGUAGCGUCAAAUAAAAAGAAACAGAGGGAGUACAAUACAAAGAUCAAAACAGACUUGGUGGUGGUGAUUGUAUUGACCAUCAAGCAGGUAAUUUUUCUUGUGAUGUUCAUGUUUACUAUUAUGUCCAAACUCCAUAGACAACUUACACAUUUAGAAUUACAUCUUGUAUAGACAAAUAAGUGUAUGUAUUAAAAAUGUCUGAAGAAAAUGGACUGUAUGAUCAUAGUGCCUUUCAACCGUUGUUUUGUGCAAUGUCCAUGAUAUCUCCUCGAGAUUAA